AUUAGAAUAGGUUAUGUUGGACCAUCACUCUUCAAAAGUGAAAGUUAAUCUCUAAUU
Molecule: transfer RNA, 57 nt
Filed under: Hexamermis agrotis
Lineage: Eukaryota; Metazoa; Nematoda; Enoplea; Mermithida; Mermithidae
Description: tRNA-Trp
Source: RNAcentral